This 9576-nucleotide long non-coding RNA is filed under the name Malus domestica (apple). RNAcentral describes it as "long non-coding RNA (MDOM_LNC007796)". The record is from RNAcentral. Lineage: Eukaryota; Viridiplantae; Streptophyta; Magnoliopsida; Rosales; Rosaceae.
UGUUGUUCGAGGGAGUGGCCGGAUACAGAUCGUGGGUGUUAACGGUCAACGUUUGUUGGACGCAGAGGUAACCGCCGGGCAACUGCUUGUGGUACCAAAGUUCUACAUGGUUGCUAAACUCGCAGGACAAAAUGGGUUGGAGUGUUUCGCUGUCAUGACCAGUUCUCAGUAAGCACACAUUAUUAUUGUGCAAAAUAAUAUUGAAAUUUCACAACAACAUUACUUCAAUUUCAGUAGUAUUUUAUUUAGGGAUAUACUUAAUUGGUAUUAUUUUUGCAGGCCUGUCUUAGAAGACUUAGCUGGGAAGACAUCAGCUUUGGGAGCAUUAUCACCGGAGGUACUACAAAUAGCCCUUAAUAUAAGUCCAGGGCUAGAACAACUUAUCAAGUCAAAGAUUAGAAAGGGGUGAUCGAUCAUGAUCAACGGUUCAACGGCCUAAUUAUAUAUCUCCAUAUAUAUAUAAAAAGGGACACUUUGGAUGCGGUCCCUAGCUAUCAAUAUUCUUUGAUUGAAAACUUGUUAGUUUUUAGUUUUUUAUUGAGGUCCCUGACAUUAAUGUAAUAAUGUAAGUUACUAUAUUUUUUAAAUUAAAAAUUAAAAAUUGAAAUUUGAAAUUUGUAAUUGUUUAUAUUAAUGAGAUUUUAAAUAAAACCCAUAAUUUAUGGGAUUAAAAAUAAUAAAAUAUAAAUUAUACUCUAUUAUAUUGUGUGUGUGUGUACAUAUAUGUAUGGGUACAUUAACCAAAAUUAACAAAAAAAGUUAUUGUACCAAAACAUGGAUACAUUCUCAGAUCAACGAAAAAGAAUGUAUCCAUAUAAGUUUAAACAUGGAUUAAAAAAUUUGAAUGGAUUUUAUAUUAAAAAAAAGGGUACAUUUUACAUAUAACAAAUUGAUAUAUUUGAGAAUGGGUACAUUUAAGAUUAAAAAAAUUGAAAAAUUAUAUGAAUGGGUACAUUUAAGAUUAAAAAAUUGAGAAUCUUUUUAUGUAUAAAAAAAAACUAAUAGGUACAAACUUAAUUUAAUUUAAUGUUUUAUUAUUUUGGAAAUGUUUGAAUUGAAAAUUAAUUAGAAGUUUAAUAGAGGUGUGAGUAUUAAACCCUAAAUUAAUUACUAAUUUUUAUAUUAAAAAAUUAUAUAAUAAACAUGUAAAUUCAUUAUCACAUUAUUGCUAGGGACUUGAAUCAAAAUUUAAGAACUAAUAAGGUCUUAGUCAAUGAACAGUAAGAACUAAGGAUCGGAUACUAAUUUUUUCUAUAUAAUAUUAAUAAGAAGAUCCAUGCAUCAUGCAUGAUAUAUUACUGCAAUGCAAGAGUGAGAUACGGUCUUUCUGUAUGUAAUUUUGACUUCAAGAAUUUUAGCUAUAGCACACCCCUUGUAUUGGUGUGGAUUAAGAUGAAAGAGCACCGACUUCGGUGGCAAUUAUCAGUAGCCACCAUGCAGCCACUGAAUAAGAAUCCAUGUCCUAUGUAAACAUCUUCAUUGUAACAAACGCCACUAUUUCUACAUCCGUGUAAAAAGGUAAUAGUACAAGUCUCAUUAUAUUCGAUCUUUUUAUUUAAAAUAGGAAGUUUAACGAAAAGUUCCUGGAAUUGUUUACUUUAACGAAAAAUCAUAUUUUUACACUAAAAAGUUAAUCAUGAUAUUAUUCACUUUACUAUUUAUUUUAUUUUUAUCAUUAAAACAAAAAGUUUUCAGACACUUUUUAUUAGUUUUCUUUUAUUUAUUUAUAAUUAAAAAUAGUAAGUAAAUCUUGUUAGAGAAAAUGUCCUUUUUGCAUCAGUGUCCAGAUAAGAUGAGAGAAAAUCGGUUACGGUGGUUUGGACAUGUGCAAAGAAGGCCUACUGACGCUCCGAUUAGAAGAUGCGACUAUGGGACAGAGGUUCAGGGCCGAAGGGGUAGAGGAAGACCUAGGAAAACUUUGGAAGAGACUCUAAGAAAAGACUUAGAGUACUUGGAUCUAACGAAGGACAUGACACAGGAUCGAGCACAAUGGCGUUCUAAGAUUCAUAUAGCCGAUCCCACUCAGUGACUUGGAUUUUCCAAGUCUCCAACCGAGAAGUUUUCCUCACUCGGGAAAUUAAGGGAACACUACCCCAACCUACAUGCUCCACUCAGAAAGCUUCAACAUACAAGCUUCAACAUACAAGCUUCAACAAAAGAAAAUUCAAAGAACUUAACGAAGAAGGCUUUGGUGUAUUUAACACAAUACGUUGAAAUGAAGGAAAGCUUAUUUAUUGAUAUUCCCGAUAAGCUACAAAUAUGUACAUAUACAUGAGUCAAAAUAAACACACAAGAGGAAGCCUUCACAAAGGUUGCUUAGGAGAAGUCUCAGCAGUCGGUAGAGCCCCAGAAAGAGAAGGCACCGGAGGGGGAUCAUUUGGAGCCUCAGUACUGGACAGAACCCUAGAAGGAGGAGGCAUCAGAGGUUGAUCAUUUGGAGCUUCAUUACGCGGUACAGCCCCAGAAGACGAAGGCAAUAAAUGCCUUUGGAACAAACCCACAAAUCUCUGAUGAUCAAGUAAAACCUGACCAUCAGUUUCCUUCAUCUGGUCAAGCUUCCUCUUCAUGUUUGUAGCAUAGUCAUGUGCGAGCCGGUGCAACUGUUUAUUCUCAUGCUUGAGCCCUCUAAUCUCAUGUUUGAGACUCAUCACUUCAGCCGCCAAUGAUUCAACUUGGCGGGUUCGAGCAAAUAGGCGUUGGGCCAUAUUAGACACAGAACCUGCACACUGAACACUGAGAGCCAGCGAAUCCUUAACAGCUAACUCAUCAGACCGUUUGGAAAGUAGUCUGUUAUCUUUGGGAGUGAGAAGGUUCCUGGCCACCACCGCAGCGGUCAUAUCAUUCUUCAUCACGGAAUCCCCAACGGUAAGAGGACCAGUAGGGGAGACGAAGGAUGGGCCCAUAUGUUGUCUGGAGAAGGCGGGGCUGCCUCUUCAACAAGGUUCAAGUCAAAACGACGGUCGGAGGGGCCAGACAUUUUCAAAGGUGUUGAAGAGAGAAGAGGUCGGACAAAUCAAGAUCUUAGAAGUGCAAGAAUGAAGCUUCUACUGGUGGAGAUUCAAGUGUGGUUUGGAACUUAAUGCCAGCCCCUAUAAAAAUCUGCACUCGACGGAGCUUCAGAAAUCGAAGAGGCGCCUGCUCAGAAAUCGAAGAGGCGUUUGCUUUCUCAAAAGUUGGGCUACUUAGAGAUCACGAGGGUUGAUCUCAGAAAUCGAAGAGGUGUUUGCUUUCUCAAAAGUUGGGCUGCUCAAAGACCACGAAGGCCGAUCUCAGAAAUCGAAGAGGCGCUCGCUUUCUCAAAAGCUGGGCUCCCCAGAGACCACGAGGGCCGAUCUCAGAAAUCGAAGAGGCACCUACUUUUUCCAACCUUGUCAGCACCUGUCACACGCACACUCAGCUUUACGGAAAUUAUGGGCAUUCUGUCAAAGACUUCUGGGGAAGUAGAAAACACAUGAAUCUUACUGUUCAAUCACCCAUUUCCCACACGCAACAAUAGCUCAUGGGUACCACAGAUAACUUUGCCAAAGUUCUCUCUGCCAAAGUUGAGCACGUGAAGCUUGCAGCUCCCACUACAUCGCUCUGACCAAGAAGGGUAAAAGAAUAGCAAAGAAACAGCACUAACAAAGUUUAGACCCAUAAAUUUUGAAGGUCUAGCUACCAUAUUAUUACCCACAAGGGUAAAGGAACAGUACCAUUGCUGGAUAAUUGGAAAGUCCCUGUGUGUCAACCUCUGUGCUUCGUGGCAAGGUAGACUAGCAAACAUGCCCAACCUUUACUCACAUUCGAGAAAACACUCCCAAUAAGAUUGCUUGCUCCAAAAUCAAAGAGGCACCGCUCUCCGAAUCUCGAGAGCCAGACUCCCAACAUGAUUACUUUCUCAAAAAUCGAAGAGACACUGCUCCCCGAAUCUCGAGAGCCAGACCCCCAGCAUGAUUGCUUUCUCAAAAAUCGAUGAGGCAUCGUUCUCCGAAUCAAUCGAAGAGGCGCUCGCUUUCUCAAAAGCUGGGCUGCUCAUAGACCACGAGGGCCGAUCUCAGAAAUGAAAGAGGCACCUACUUUUCUAGCCUUGUCAGCACCUGUCACACACACACUCAGCUUUGCAGAAAUUAUGGGCAUUCUGUCGAAGACUUCUGGUGAAGUAGAAAGCACAUGAAUCUUACUGUUCAAUCACUCACUUCCCACACGCAAUAAUAACUCAUGGGUACCACAGAUAACUUUGCCAAAGUUCUCUGCCAAAGUUGAGCACGUGAAGCUUGCAGCUCCCACUACAUCGCUCUGACCAAGAAAGGUAAAAGAAUAACAAAGAAACAGCACUAACAAAGUUUAGACACAUAAAUUUUGAAGGUCUAGCUACCAUAUUAUUACCCACAAGGCUAAAGGAACAAUACCACUGCUGGAUAAUUGGAAAGUCCCUGUGUGUCAACCUCUGUGCUUCGUGGCAAGGUAGACUAGCAAACAUGCCCAACCUUUACUCACAUUCGAGAAAACACUCCCAACAAGAUUGCUUGCUCCAAAAUCGAAGAGGCACCGUCCUCUGAAUCUAAAGAGCCAGACUCCCAACAUGACUACUUUCUCAAAAUCGAAGAGAGGGUAAAGGAACAGUACCAUUGCUGGAUAAUUGGAAAGUCCCUGUGUGUCAACCUUUGUGCUUCGUGGCAAGGUAGACUAGCAAACAUGCCCAACCUUUACUCACAUUCGAGACAACACUCCCAACAAGAUUGCUUGCUCCAAAAUCGAAGAGGCACCGCCCUCCGAAUCUCGAGAGCCAGACUCCCAACACAUGAUUACUUCCUCAAAAAUCGAAGAGACACUGCUCUCCGAAUCUCGAGAGUCAGACCCCCAGCAUGAUUGCUUUCUCAAAAAAUCGAAGAGGCAUUGUUCUCCGAAUCUCGAGAGCCAUAUACCACAGACCACUUUUUCAAAGUGCUCUGACAGAGUUAAAACAUGUGAAACUGGCAGCUCCCACUACUGUGCUAUGACCAAGCAGGGUAAAGGAAUAGCAUUACUACUUGUUGUUAGGGAGACUCCUAUAUAUGUCGACCUCCAUCCCCAACGGACAGGCAGACUUGCAAAAAUGCUCAACCCUUCAUCAUAUCUGAGAGGGCACUCCCAACGAAGCCUUUCGAAAUAUUCAGCUUUCUUUCCCCCCGAUAAUACCUCUGCAAACAAGUAUACUAGAGCAAGAAUAUCUCAUAUCAUCAGGGUUAAAAGCAAGAGUAUCCCAUAUCAUGCUUUUUCCCUGUCUUUUCUUUUGGCCUUGUUUUUACCUGCAAGACAAGGAGAAAGAGAGCAAUCAGUCAGCACUUGGAAUCAAGCUUCCAGCCAGGAACUGACUGCCUGGAACCCCUUACCUGAUUACUUACCUGGCAUUGCUCUCGAGUACUCAUCUUCAACAUCUUAUGUUUCCAGGGAAGAUUCCGCAUCUGCUUGAGGAACAGAUAGGGCAAGUGCGAAGGAUACAAGGAAGCAUGUGGAGACAAGCGUAACAGCACACGUGCCGAUACAUCCAUUACUCUGUCAAAAGCAAAAGUAUCCCAUAUCAGCAGGGUGGAACGUACUCUAGAUUUGAUGGACUUGUUUUGACCCUCAAAUUCUUCAGUCGGCCUUAUACUCUGGAGGAAACCAAAAAAACCCUCCAGCUCAGUUCAAGAAUAAGCCUGUGGAACGUUACUUCUUCAAAAGCAAAAGUAUCUCAUAUCAUCUCUUCUCAUUUUUCUUCUCUUUAUCCUUCAUGCUGCUGCAAGAUGGGGAGAAGGUGAACAAUCAGUCGGAGCUCUGAUUGCUUACCUUGUCUGUCACCUCUUUCAGCAGACCCCCUAGCUCGGCGACUUGGGGGACUCCUACUACAUGGUUUGUAUCGCGCUUGACCAAGCCUGAAAACUACAAGUAAGCUUCAAGUGAAAUUGAUACAUUUACCUUGUGCAUCUCCACCAGUUAAAGAUACCACCCCUGGAUGGAGGAAGAGUACUUCCAGAGAAGAUGCCACAUCUACCUAUGAGACAGAUAAGGCAAGUCAAGACGACACCACACUCCGAUACUUAGAAGUUUCGUGAUUACGAGAUCAUUCUCCCACAAUAUUUCCUAAUGUCAUUUGUACUAAAAUCAUUCACUUGUACUCACUAAAGGAGAGCUUGAACCUAUGUACUUGUGUAAACCCUUCACAAUUAAUGAGAACUCUUCUAUUCCGUGGACGUAGCCAAUCUGGGUGAACCACGUACAUCUUGUGUUUGUUUUCCUAUCUCUAUCCAUUUAUAUACUUAUCCACACUAAUGACCGGAGCAAUCUAGCGAAGAUCACAAAAAAGCGACCGUUUUUGCUACCUAGGAUCUAUCUUGCAAGAGAACGGAGAAUUAGAUGGAGAUCUCAACCAUAGAAUACGAGUUGGAUGGAAAGAGUGCAUCCGGCGUGUUGUGUGACCGUCGUAGGCCACUGAAGCUCAAGGGAAAAUUUUAUAGGACGGCAAUAAGGCCAGCGAUGUUGUAUGGCACAGAAUGUUGGGUGGUGAAGCAUCAACACGUACACAAAAUGGGUGUAGCGGAGAUGAGGAUGCUUCGUGGGAUGUGUGGGCACAUGAGAAAGGAUAAGAUUGGGAAUGAGGAUAUCCGAGGUAAAGUAGGAGUAGCCGAAAUUGUAGGAAAGAUGAGAGAAAAUCGGCUCCGGUGAUUUGGACAUGUGCAAAGAAGGCCGUCUGACGCUCCGGUUCGAAGAUGUGACUACGGGACAGAGGUUCAGGGCCGAAGGGGUAGAGGAAGACCUAGGAAAACUUUGGAAGAGACUCUAAGAAAAGACUUAGAGUACUUGGAUCUAACGGAGGACAUGACACAAAAUCGAGCGCAAUGGCGUUCUAGGAUUCAUAUAGCCGACCCCACUUAGUGGGAAAAGGCUUUGUUGUUGUUGUUGUUGUUGUUGUCCAGAUUGCUUUUUAUUUAUUUUUUUAUUUUUUAUUUUUUAUUUUUUAAGACGGGAGUAGGAUUAUCCUCAUCUAUUCUUAUCCCUUUCCCUCCUUUCCUUUCAUAUAUUAUUUUUUGUCAUAUUAUUUUUAUAAAAAAAUUAAUAUAAGAUAUUGACGUGAUUAUACCAUAACCGUUCAAAUAGAAGAGAAGAGAAAGAGAUUAAGAGGGAAGAGAAUCCUCCUCUUUCAAAAGGGCACCCACUGAGCACCCAUUGCAUUGUCUAAUCCCAUUAUUAAUGUCAAUGGCUUUUGAUAAAAUUAAUAUUUUUGCAAUUAAGUCCUCCAAGACAAACUUGCAAUCAAGUCCUACAAUUUCAAAGCGGACAAGGAUUGUCUGCCCUCCCUUUUUUCCAUGCCAUUCCAUGCCCUCCUGUUUAUGUGGUCACGGUUAAGUCACGUCAACAUUUUAUAUUACUAUUCAUUUUUAUCUUAUUAUCUUUAUAAAAAAAAUAAUAUAAAAUGUUAACAUGGCUUAACUGUGACCACACAAAACAGGAGGGCAUGGAAGGACAUGGAAAAUAGGAGGGCAGACAAUCCUUGUCCUUUCAAAGCAUACUUCCAUCCAUACCUGGGCAAAAUUAUAAAUUAAAAAUAAUAAAAACUUGAAAGAUAAUAUCACAUAAUCAUACUAAAUUUAAAAUAGUAUAAAAACAACUAAAACUAAUUAAAAUCUACCUUCAUAAGAACUUCAUAGUUCAUAUCUGAAUAAAUCACUUAAGAUCUGAUUGUUAAAUCAUCUUCUGCACUUCUUUCUUUCCAUCAAAAAAGUUAACAACGCAAAAAAACCACAAAUAAACAUCAUAAUUUACUUAAAAGAGCAGCGAAAAUUAAGUUUUUAGUCAGAAUGAAAAAAAAAAAGAAAAAUGAUUAUAGCGAAAACAGAAUAGUUAUGCCUAUCCGUGCAUCCUCCUCAAUGCCAAACCUUUUUGUACUCAACACUUUUCACUGUAGAACAACAAACUAUCGUAUGAAUUAACAAAUAAUUGCAUGCAGAGGAGACCCAAGCGAGAUUUGAAAACAUACAUUCAGAUCUUAGAAGAUAUGAACUCAAAGUGGGAAAAAACUCGGACCUGAUUUGAAAUUGAGGAAAAGGAAAGAGCUCUCACAAGUGGAGAGAGGAGCUCUCACAAACGGGAGAGAAAAACUCUCACCAACUCCUCUGCAAUCCAAAAUAAAACAAAGGGGAGAGAGAACUUUAUCUCUGAAGGAAAAACACAAGAGAAAGAGGAAAUCACGAAGAGAGAUGUGACAGUGAAAACAAAGAGAGAGAAGAAAGUAAAAGAAAGAGAGAGAGGGGGAAAAACAAAGGAGAAAAAGGAAAAUGAAGAGGGAGAGUUAGCUCAUUAGAUUUGGGCACAAUAUAAUAACAAUUAAAAAACUUAAUAAUUAUUAUUUUGACAUUAAAAGAAUCUAAUAAUUAUUAUUUGAGAACUUUAACGAAAAACUCAUGGUACUGUUCACUUUAACGAAAAACCACAUUUUUACACUAAAAAGUCAAUUUUGGUACUAUUCACUUUACUCUUUAUUUUGUCAUUUUCGUUAAAACUCAAAGUUUUCAAGCCAUUGUCAUUAGUUUUCCUUUAUUAUUUUGCAUGUAUAAAGCAAAAUAAUGAAUUUAUAGGUUAUAUAUUUGAAGAAUGACAUUAUCAUCGGUGUUGGAAAGCCUAAAGGACACCAAACAUACACAACGGUGCAAUCGACUCUUAAAAAGACACUGAUGGUGAAUGGUGUUCCCAAAACAGUGUCCUAUGUAUGGCCUGUUUUCUAGUAAUGUUUUUUGAAUAAAAUUUGUGAAUGGAUCACAAUGACAAUGUAAGAAUUCACUAUUGAUAAAAUACAAUACACUCUCUGUUUGUUCAAUAAAAUUCUGUGAAUGAUGACGAUGACAAUUGUGUACACAUAAAUCCAUUUCACCAAAGCUGAGACUUGGCAAGUAGAGAUUAUGAGCCCCGCUCUCAUCUUCCCCUCUUUCCUUCUUUCCCUCUUCUCAUUUGCAUCUUGUCUCUUUUCCCUUGCUCUUCUCUUCCCCUUGUAUUUUCUUCAUAUGUUUUAUCUGUUCCAUUUUCUUCUCUUUCUCAAAUCAAACAAAAUUGGUCAAACUAAGCUGAAUCUGAACCGAACUAGUUAUACCAUUUAAAUUUUAUCUUCCAUUUUUUAGGGUGAAGCAAAUCGAACCAAACCGUUAAUUAGUCAGUGUUUAAGCAUGUAUAUAGGGAAUCCAUUAUCGAACACAUCUGCUGACUUCAUGCUCUUUGUGAGCUCUAAAUUGUUUAGUUAGUAUAUAUGCAUUAAGAUAUAUUUUCGUAGUCACAUUAUUCAAACCACUGAAGUUGUAAUUCGUCUGAUUGGACUUCGUUUAAUGAAAUUUCUCUACCAUAUAUUGACAAAAAAAGAAAAAAGAAAUGCAUGUAUUAUGGCCGAGAGCUAAGUUAUACACACGACAGUGAAACAAAUAAUACUAUGUACCUAGUCCUCUCCAUUGCAGUAGAUCUUUUUUCAUGUACCCGGAACACGAGCUUGUACAUUACGUGUCAUAAGAGUGUUGAAUCCCACAUCGACCAAGUAAAAGAAAAGUAAAUAGUUUAAAUAUCUUAACCACACCCUAACUAACACCGAUGCCAUUU